Molecule: transfer RNA, 69 nt
Filed under: Phallusia mammillata
Lineage: Eukaryota; Metazoa; Chordata; Ascidiacea; Phlebobranchia; Ascidiidae
Description: transfer RNA-Ala
Source: RNAcentral
AAAACUUGAGUUUUCACAAAAUUCCUCGGUUGCAGUGAGGGGAUAAGAGCUACCAUCUCUUAAGUUUUA